RNAcentral lists this ribosomal RNA (440 nucleotides) under uncultured bacterium. Its description in RNAcentral is "partial 16S ribosomal RNA". It matches the Rfam family "Bacterial small subunit ribosomal RNA", at positions 338 to 795 of the family's 1533-position model. The record is from RNAcentral.
CCUACGGGAGGCAGCAGUGGGGAAUAUUGCACAAUGGGGGAAACCCUGAUGCAGCGACGCCGCGUGAGUGAAGAAGUAUUUCGGUACGUAAAGCUCUAUCAGCAGGGAAGAAAAUCACGGUACCUGACUAAGAAGCCCCGGCUAACUACGUGCCAGCAGCCGCGGUAAUACGUAGGGGGCAAGCGUUAUCCGGAUUUACUGGGUGUAAAGGGAGCGUAGACGGCAGCUCAAGUCUGGAGUGAAAUCCCAUGGCUUAACCAUGGAACUGCUGUGGAAACUGGGCAGCUAGAGUGCAGGAGAGGUAAGCGGAAUUCCUAGUGUAGCGGUGAAAUGCGUAGAUAUGAGGAGGAACCCCAGUGGCGAAGGCGGCUUACUGGACUGUAACUGACGUUGAGGCUCGAAAGCGUGGGGAGCAAACAGGAUUAGAUACCCUGGUAGUC